UACGGAGGGUGCGAGCGUUGUCCGGAAUCACUGGGCGUAAAGGCGCGUAGGCGGCCUGAUAAGUAGGGGGUGAAAUCCUGCGGCUUAACCGCAGGGCUGCCUUCUAAACUGUCAGGCUUGAGCACAGUAGAGGCAGGUGGAAUUCCCGGUGUAGCGGUGGAAUGCGUAGAGAUCGGGAAGAACAUCAGUGGCGAAGGCGGCCUGCUGGGCUGUUGCUGACGCUGAGGCGCGACAGCGUGGGGAGCAAACAGG
This 252-nucleotide ribosomal RNA is filed under the name uncultured bacterium. Its description in RNAcentral is "partial 16S ribosomal RNA". It matches the Rfam family "Bacterial small subunit ribosomal RNA", at positions 524 to 776 of the family's 1533-position model. The record is from RNAcentral.